UACUACUGUACUAAGUAAACCUCCAUGUCAAAGCCUGAUCUCUGAAGCUAACCAGGACUGGGCCUGGUUAGUACUUGGAUGGGAGACCACUGGGAAUACCAGGUACCACAGUGGGGU
RNAcentral lists this ribosomal RNA (117 nucleotides) under Periophthalmus magnuspinnatus. The record is from RNAcentral. Lineage: Eukaryota; Metazoa; Chordata; Actinopteri; Gobiiformes; Gobiidae.